AAAUUUCCUUUUGUCAGGCACCGCUAGUUCACAUGUGAACCUGAGGCUUGCCUGCGAAAAUUUAUUUUAUUGUGAAGAUACUACGGUCUAAUUUUGUUUGCAAUGUUCUGAGACUAUACGACCAUUUAAAUUCGCUUUCAAAUGACGUAUAAACCGUCCAUAUGGAGUGAGUGGAAGCAUCGCUAUGCCUCUGCGAAGUUAGUCGACUUUUUCGUUGGUGUGUGUUGGCUCGUACUGUGCGGUCAGUGACAUAAAAUAUAAUUAUAAACCGGUUUUAGUGUUUGUUAUUGAGUGUUUUUGUGUGGAUUUCGAGAAAAUCAAGAUGAGUUGGAAUCCUUUUUCUGACGCCCCAUCAUCAUUUAUUGACCUCCUCCAUGAAGAAAACGAUGAGUUGUCGGAAGAUGACAAUGAGGAAUACAUGCUACAUUCAGGGUCCUAAUUAUGAGGAUAGCGUUCUGAAUUUUCACGCAAGUAUAAAUAACUCGGGCCAUGUUGGUUUUGUACUAUAUGGUUUUGGGUAAUUUGAAAUGACUCGACUUGCACGUUUGGUGUAGAGAUUUUAUGGUGUGACCUUAUCUGGUUUCUGGGUGUGUAAAGUCUAUCUAGCUUGGUUCCAUGUCUGAAAAAAAGCGAGAAAAAAUGUAAACACCAAGCAAAACUCGGCCACCCAGGUGCCAUUAUUUAUACAUAUGGUGUGGUGUGUUGUGAUUGUAAUUGUUCUGGUUUUUGGGGGUGCAAAGUCGAUCUUGCUUGGUUCCAUGUCUGAAAAAAGCGAGAAAAAACGUAAACGCCAAGCAA
This is a long non-coding RNA of Melitaea cinxia (Glanville fritillary), 798 nucleotides long. RefSeq lists it as uncharacterized. NCBI's taxonomy places the organism in Eukaryota, Metazoa, Arthropoda, Insecta, Lepidoptera, Nymphalidae. The record is from RefSeq and is a predicted model, not a curated record. The transcript is spliced from 3 exons.